Molecule: long non-coding RNA, 395 nt
Filed under: Salmo salar (Atlantic salmon)
Lineage: Eukaryota; Metazoa; Chordata; Actinopteri; Salmoniformes; Salmonidae
Description: lncRNA (ENSSSAG00000084970.1)
Source: RNAcentral
CGGACAUGUCUACAACUGGGUUUAGGGAGAAUUAAAGGUGCUGUCCUGCUGGGAGUAGAGUGUUAAGAGGAGAAUUAAAGGUGCUGUCCUGCUGGGAGUAGACUGUUAAGAGGAGAAUUAAAGGUGCUGUCCUGCUGGGAGUAGACUGUUAAGAGGAGAAUUAAAGGUGCUGUCCUGCUGGGAGUAGAGUGUUAAGAGGAGAAUUAAAGGUUAAGGAGAAGACAUCACACGGUAUUUCCUUGGAGGAAACUGGACACUUUGGAGCGACUGAUCUGAUCUCACAACUGUUCUCGACAAAUAUCACAGUUUUACACACUUAAGAUUUAGAGCUGGCGGACGUUGUGGAGGCCGGUGGUUAGUCAGAGAUGAUUCCUCAUGAAGUCCAUGGAGCCAUC